CCCACAACUGCCUCACAAGCAUCCCAGAGUCCAGUCAGCAGACAGCAGAAGAGACUGUCAGCAGACCACCUUGGAGGGGAUGCUUGGAGCUGCCUAACGUGUGAUUCAAAGAUGAAUUCCAUGUGUUUGGAGAAGAAGCCCUAGCCUCAACACAAAGGUUGGCCACAUUCCAGCCAAGGUAGCACGGAGUGAAGGCCCGUGGAGGGAGAGCUGGGCUUUUCUGAACUACUUCAGUACACCUUGCUGUGCCUUGGCCUGCCGUGUUUCAUCCCCAUGGCUGUCCUCAGUGAUGUGCAUGGUCACUGCUCCCUUCACCACUGAGAAGACGGGCACAGGACAGUCAGGGGAUGUGUCCAAGGUCCCACAGCAGGAAGGGCUGGAGCCAGAAUGUGGUCUGAGAGGCUGGAUAUACAAAGAGACAAUGGCAUGACCAUCUGUACAAAUGGAACUAUGGCCCACAACCUGCAGCAGCCAGCCCAGGAAGCCAACCCGUCACCUGCAGCAGCCAGGAUGGAUGCUGGCCUGCCCUCAGGUGCCCUUGUUGGAGAACAUGGGGGGCCAAAUUCCAAACGUGGCAAGAGAUAACAAAUGACUUGUCUGGUGGCUGAACCCUGAGCUGGGAGCACUGCCUGGAGAAAACUCUGAUACUCAAGUCUAGUUUUAUAUGGCUCCAAACGCCUCCACCAUGAGCUCAAGGCAGUGAGACUGACUGAAAAACCCUCUCUAUUACAGACCACAACAUUGAACCCAACAUCCCCCUAAGUAGGUUGUACUCACAUCAUUGGUCUUAUGGGGAAAUUUUAAGACCUCCCACUUGUAAGGUUUUAUAGCCCUCUAUGGAAUAUUGAAGAAAGAGUAAAAUGCAUCCAAAAAAAAAAAAAAACACUAAACUGGAUAAAUUCUAAGGCCUCUUCAGGUCUUAAGAUGGCCAUUUUCUAGGUCCUCUUGCUGCAGCAGUGAAAUCCACAAACACGGACAAGUCAGUCAGUUACGUGCCUUUCAGAGAAAACUUCUGACUUAGGAAUUCCAGCUAUUUGGCCCAACCCAUAUUAGAUUGUGUUAUAAAGACAUGGUAAAUUACAUCACGAAGGGAAGAGCAGAGGAAACAUAAUAUUCCUUCAAGACCCAUCAGCUCAGAUGUUAGCAGAACACCCCUAAGGAGGAAAACAAGAAAUUUUGGGUUUGAACUUGGUACUUCCCAGCAGCCCUGGGAGUGGGGUCAGAAGCCCUGCUGGGGGCCAAAGAACUCUGAGGAUCAAAGAUGUUGAGCAUCACCUUAGAGGCCAAAGAUCAGAACAGUGGAGGUGGCCUUUGAAGCCCAACCUGUCUUUCACCAGAGAGUGAGAACGGCCUCUAUUUCCAGGAAGCUCACUGCAGCAAUAAUCAUGAUGCUCUGAGCCUGACAAGCAAAAGAAAACUUCUUUAGGAGGAUAAAAGGGAGAUGAAGAAACAGAAAACACAUCAGCUCUCCAUCCAGAUUACAGAAAGCAGAAAACAUCCUGAAGUGAAUAACAUAGGAAUCGCUCUUUUUCCCCCCUGAGAUAGCAGGUUACUUAUGAGAAACAAGCUUGAAAUCUCUGCACCUGGACCAGCUUCCAGAGGCUUUUGUCCUGACCAGCUGGCUUUGGGGAAGUAAAGGAAACCAGAGAAGAAGAGGCUGAAAGAAUUGGUUUCCACCGUGACCUUUGAACCCUCGGGCGAGUUGUCAGCCUCACUGAGGAUGAGUGUACUCCAUAUCAAGUGAGGUCACUUUACUCGCAAGCUUGUUGUGAGGACUGAAUGAAACCUUUUCUUUUUUCUUGGAGUUUCAGAGCAACGUCCCUGAGCCCAGCCCCACACUGGCUUGAGCCCUGUCGUCGGUCAAGACACGGUGCUUUCUCCCCUCCCCUCUGCACUCCAGCUUACUCUGCAGUCAGGAGGUGGCACCACGAUCCCCUUUAAGACUUUGCCACUUGGGCCAGCUGCGCCCCUGUGAAAUUCCCUGUUUCUAUUGCAGGCCACAAGGACGAGCUGAGAAAUGGCUUCCAGUCACCAUCUAGAUUAGAAAGCCUAUAUUUCAAAUAUAGAUAUAUCAAUUAUGCCUGUAAAAAGACAUUAAAUCCCACAGGGCUGUAAUUCCUAGACUCUACGAAUUUCAUCUUGCACCAAAUUUUAUUAUUUCAUUUAUAAUUCGGAUUCUUCAAAUCUAAGAGUGCCUGGCUCAAAAUUAAAAUACCUACAACUAUGCCAAAACUGGACUCUUUAAUUGCCUUACUGGAACCAGUAGCUGAUUCAAAGCAAAACGAAACAAAAUUCCUCCUUUCUCUGAUUUAGUGAAUCAAUGAUCUAACUGAACUCAUUUUUGGACUGAGUUUGCGGCACUUGCAGCCCUGAGGGACACAUUCCCCCACCACACUGAGCCUGCACUCCCAUCAAUGCAAAUGAACAUUUUGCUUAUUCAGAUUGGGGGGGUGAAGGAAGUCACAAAAGGGUUAAUACAUAUGGCAUUUCAUUGUAAUAUGUACUCACUACUAACUAAAUUAAAAGAGAUGUGAGUUAUUAAAAACUCCAUCUUAAGAAAGUAACAGAAAUCAGAGUUCAGAUUCGUUGUUACUGAGUUUCCAACCAACACCUGUGAGUUAAACCUACGGCCACCCUGAA
This 2640-nucleotide long non-coding RNA is filed under the name Homo sapiens (human). RNAcentral describes it as "non-protein coding LINC01304:5". Lineage: Eukaryota; Metazoa; Chordata; Mammalia; Primates; Hominidae. The record is from RNAcentral.